GAUGAAGAACGCAGCGAAAUGCGAUACGUAAUGUGAAUUGCAGAAUUCAGUGAAUCAUCGAGUCUUUGAACGCACAUUGCGCCUUUUGGUAUUCCGAAAGGCACGUCUGUUCGAGCGUCAGUAAAAACCCUUCCGGACCGGUGUGUUUGUGAAAACCGCCUGGCCUCGGGACCCUGGCGUGGGGAAGUGACCGCAGUGUCUCCGGACACUGCUGGUUUCCCCCGCUUAAACGCGGAGAAAGCUAGCGGGCAAUUGGCCUACACAAUGCGACAACUCGUAAAACCCUUAUAGGUUGUAACCGUCAUAGUGGACCUGCCCCGCCUCUUGCAACCGUAAAGGGCUCUUCAAAAGGCUCUUUUUCUGAACUCUUGACCUCGGAUCAGAUGAGGAUACCCGCUGAACUUAAGCAUAUCAAUAAGCGGAGGA
This 426-nucleotide unclassified non-coding RNA is filed under the name soil metagenome. RNAcentral describes it as "partial contains 5.8S ribosomal RNA, internal transcribed spacer 2, and large subunit ribosomal RNA". The stretch from base 1 to 120 matches the Rfam family "5.8S ribosomal RNA", at positions 35 to 154 of the family's 154-position model. The record is from RNAcentral.